This 243-nucleotide ribosomal RNA is filed under the name uncultured bacterium. RNAcentral's name for it is "partial 16S ribosomal RNA". It matches the Rfam family "Bacterial small subunit ribosomal RNA", at positions 94 to 334 of the family's 1533-position model. The record is from RNAcentral.
AGUGGCGGACGGGUGAGUAACGCGUGGGUAACCUGCCUCAUACAGGGGGAUAACAGUUAGAAAUAGACUGCUAAUACCGCAUAAGACCACAGCACCGCAUGGUGCAGGGGUAAAAACGUACCGGUGGUAUGAGAUGGACCCGCGUCUGAUUAGGUAGUUGGUGGGGUAACGGCCUACCAAGCCGACGAUCAGUAGCCGACCUGAGAGGGUGACCGGCCACAUUGGGACUGAGACACGGCCCAA